This 496-nucleotide ribosomal RNA is filed under the name uncultured bacterium. Its description in RNAcentral is "partial 16S ribosomal RNA". It matches the Rfam family "Bacterial small subunit ribosomal RNA", at positions 28 to 507 of the family's 1533-position model. The record is from RNAcentral.
GACGAACGCUGGCGGCGUGCCUAAUACAUGCAAGUAGAACGCUGAAGCUUGGUGCUUGCACCGAGCGGAUGAGUUGCGAACGGGUGAGUAACGCGUAGGUAACCUGCCUGGUAGCGGGGGAUAACUAUUGGAAACGAUAGCUAAUACCGCAUAAGAGUAGAUGUUGCAUGACAUUUGCUUAAAAGGUGCAAUUGCAUCACUACCAGAUGGACCUGCGUUGUAUUAGCUAGUUGGUGAGGUAACGGCUCACCAAGGCAACGAUACAUAGCCGACCUGAGAGGGGGACGGGCCCACCGGGAACGGGACCCCGGCCCGGACUCCUAGGGGGGGAGGCGGAGGGGAUUUUUCGGAAAUGAACGGAGUCUGACCGAGCAACGCCGCGUGAGUGAAGAAGGUUUUCGGAUCGUAAAGCUCUGUUGUAAGAGAAGAACGAGUGUGAGAGUGGAAAGUUCACACUGUGACGGUAUCUUACCAGAAAGGGACGGCUAACUACGUG